AUAAGAAGUUCUGAAGGGAGGAAUGAGGAGAAGCUCUAAAAACCAGGAUGAAAUUGCUAAAAUCCAUUCAGAUUUCUCCCUAAAUUUCCUCUAAAUGUGCAAACGGGCCGGGAUUUGGGGAAAGGGUUUAGGGAUCAACCAAGGGUGGGAUUUGGGGGUUCAGCAACCAGAAGAGUGUAAAAAGCUCUGAAGGGAGGAAUGAGGGAAUGAAGAGAAUGAGAAGUAGCUCUAAAAACCAGGAUAAAACUUGCUGAAACCCAUUCAGAUUUCUCCCUAAAUUUCCUCUAAAUGUGCAAAUGGGCUGGGAUUUGGGGAAAGGGUUUAGGGGAUCAACCAAGGGUGGGAUUUGGGGGUUCAGCAGCCGGAGGAGUGUGCUGAGCCCAGCUGGCCAGCUGCCAGCAGCAGGAUGUCCUUCUUCUCCUUGUGGAACCGGAGCUCCUUCCCGGCCAGCCGGG
This 455-nucleotide long non-coding RNA is filed under the name Zonotrichia albicollis (white-throated sparrow). RNAcentral's name for it is "lncRNA (ENSZALG00000000966.1)". Lineage: Eukaryota; Metazoa; Chordata; Aves; Passeriformes; Passerellidae. The record is from RNAcentral.